RNAcentral lists this ribosomal RNA (397 nucleotides) under uncultured bacterium. Its description in RNAcentral is "partial 16S ribosomal RNA". It matches the Rfam family "Bacterial small subunit ribosomal RNA", at positions 356 to 748 of the family's 1533-position model. The record is from RNAcentral.
UGGGGAAUUUGGACAAUGGGGCAACCUGAUCCAGCAAUGCCGCGUGUGUGAAGAAGGCCUUCGGGUUGUAAAGCACUUUUGUCCGGAAAGAAAACGCCGUGGUUAAUACCCGUGGCGGAUGACGGUACCGGAAGAAUAAGCACCGGCUAACUACGUGCCAGCAGCCGCGGUAAUACGUAGGGUGCAAGCGUUAAUCGGAAUUACUGGGCGUAAAGCGUGCGCAGGCGGUCCGCUAAGACAGAUGUGAAAUCCCCGGGCUUAACCUGGGAACUGCAUUUGUGACUGGCGGGCUAGAGUAUGGCAGAGGGGGGUAGAAUUCCACGUGUAGCAGUGAAAUGCGUAGAGAUGUGGAGGAAUACCGAUGGCGAAGGCAGCCCCCUGGGCCAAUACUGAGCUC